UGGGUAGUAUCUUAUAGAGCUAUACCAGAUUUUUUGCAUUAAAAUUUAUAAUACGACUCAUAUCUAUAUGAAUGAGAUUGAAUU
Clostridium sp. DL-VIII is the source of this 84-nucleotide regulatory RNA element. It matches the Rfam family "pan motif". NCBI's taxonomy places the organism in Bacteria, Bacillati, Bacillota, Clostridia, Eubacteriales, Clostridiaceae. The record is from Rfam.